GAGGGGGCGGCGAUGUGAGAGGCGGAGGGGGCGGCGCGCGCUCGGUACGCGCGCCGGCGACCAUGGCGUUUGCCCCGCUGGAGCGAGUACAUUAGCCCCCGGAGGCGGCGGCUGCGGCGACGAGGGAGCGAAUCUCGAGCGGGCGGGCCCCACUCUGAGGGAAGGGAGGAAGGGGCGGGGAGAGCGCCAGAGGGAGGCCAGUCGGCCGCGGGCGGGCGGGCAGCGCAGCGCCGACGGGGCCCGUGGGCCCAUGAGGAGGCCCGGGGACCAUGGGCUCCAGGAUCAAGCAAAAUCCAGAUACCACAUUUGAAGUGUAUGUUGAAGUGGCCCAUCCUGGGACAGGUGGCACUCUUUCAGAUCCUGAGGUGCAGAGGCAAUUCCCGGAGGACUACAGUGACCAGGUUUUGGUGCUUGUCUUGACAACAAAGUCCUGCAUCCCAGAACAAUGAUUGCUGAUUAAGUGGGUAUGCAAUUGUGACUGAAUAGGCUUUCAAGAUAGUGGGUAAAAAGGUCUAUCAUCUGAAGGCUGAAUUAUAGAAUUUAGAAAAUGUUAUCAGAAGUAUACAUUUAAAUCAAUUUUUUUUUCAUACCCUACCAUUAGGUAAGACAAAGAGUUCUUACAAGUUAAAGAAAAGUAUAGCCACCCACGGUUUAAAAAAAUCCUCCUGUAUAAAUUUUAAUGAUUAGAGUAUUUCAGUAACUCAGAAUAUCAAUUUGCCUUCUUAUGGUUGAACAUUUAAAAAAUAAUUUUUAGACCUUUAGAUACUUUUUGGAAAUCUGAAGUCUACCAGUUAUAUGUGUUAAUAUGGUUACUGGAUGACCAGGGGAAACUUACCAGACAGCCCUUGAAGACAUCUGAAUGUACAGUCAUACCUUGAGGAAAUAGAAACUACAUGAAAUACAUGUUAGAGCUAAAUUAUAGGUCAUACACACAAAUACACCUGUGCACACACACCCCGCCGCCCCCCUCCAUACUUGUGCCACUGAAGUGUUUGCUGAAUUCAUUUAUCUUUUAAAAUUAGAAUGGAUUUUGUGGGGUAACGGGAUGUUGUGGGUAGAGGUGCUAAUUUAGUUCAAAGAUAUUCAAAGAUUGGCAGGAGAGAGAGCUAGCAGCCAGUUCUGUUAGUCCUUUGGUUGUAUUGGUUUAGAGGUUUAAGUUGUCAUUAAAGCGCAAACUAGAGCCACUUCUCUGACACAGUUUUUAUCACAUCUGCUAGGCUUGUGUCCCAAGAGGAGACGUGGAGAGCAGCGAAUUCAGCAUGGGCCCAUUAUCGACUGCUUUUUCGUGUGUUGUAAAAGGAGUGAGACCUCAGGGAGGCUUGGAGCCUCCUCCCGUGUAAUGUCCAAGUCAGAUUUGAAGGACUGGUGGCAGGAAAGCUUUGGCCUUGGGGUGUGAAUUCUGAGAAAUAGAGGCACAAUUAAGUUUAAAAAAUUCAAGGACUUUGAGCUUGAUAAUGAAAGAUUUUUUUCCUAGACUAAUGUGAGCAGAAAAGUUGCCCAUCUGUGCACAUUUUUGUGUGCAUUUAAAAUAUUUAAAAGCUGACAGCUUUUAAUAUGCUUACGAAAUAGUAUUUCUAUCAGUGCUCUUUUUUUUUUCCUUUUUUAAAAAUAGUAUCUUCCGGAGGGCAAGUUGCUUCUUCAGUGAAAUCAUGUUUGCAGUUUUACUGUUGGGACCCUAUUCCUUAUGACUUGUAUCUUCCCCCCUCCCUCCAACCUUUCUCCGUUUUAGAAAUAUUGAUAGCAUAAAUGUUCAGAUUGUAUGCAGGAUUUAAAAUGUUUAACGAAAUGAACAAGACUAAAUCUUUUAUAGAGUAAUAGUGUUAAGCCCCAGGAAUUAUAUUACUGAUGCUACUGAGUGCUGAUUGUAAGAGAUUGUAACCAAAUCAUUUGUUUGUUCUGGAAGUAUUUGAAACAUGUUAAGAAUUUUAUUGAUGUUUAAAAUUGACCUUAUAAAUAUAGUUCUCUCAUUUUCAACUUCUUUGCUGCAAGGUUUAAAGUUAAUAAAAGGAAAACUUGGAAUAGAUGAUGUUAUAUAAUAUUGUAAUUUGGGAACAACUUUGUUUUAAAUAAUUUUUCGAAGAAAGGAAAGGGAACCAAAGGAUAAAAUAACUUUGUAUUUUUGGCUUAGACCUCAAAGGCCAUGAAAAUUUAGACAUAAAUGUAGUUCUAGAAGUGGCUUCUCUGCUAUUUUAACAGUCUACUCUUGUACAUAAUGUCUUUGAUAAUUUAGAUAUAAAGUUUAUAUGAUACAUGUUUGUUAUAGAGCAUGAAUUUCUAUAUUUACUAUAAUUUCAUCUUUGAAUUACAGUAUUGACUGUCUAUAUGGGGUAUUAUGCAAAUUAGUAUAAUAGCAUUUACAUUACUCAACUUUUUAAAAAAGUUUAUAAAAAAUAAACUGGGAGUAAAAUAAAAUACUGAUGAUUAAAGAAAAGAAUCAGGUCCAGUAGCAUUUGAAGCAGUGUUGUUAGAAAUUUGACCUGGCUUUUAUGUUUGGGAGUUGAAAGCCCUUUCUCUAAAAUCCCUUUUCAAAGCUUCUUUUUUUCACUGAGA
This is a long non-coding RNA of Dasypus novemcinctus (nine-banded armadillo), 2550 nucleotides long. The record is from Ensembl. NCBI's taxonomy places the organism in Eukaryota, Metazoa, Chordata, Mammalia, Cingulata, Dasypodidae.